GGAGUCUAGCGUAUACGCGAGUCAUUGGGUGGAAAACCCAUAGGCGUAAUGAAAGUGAAGGUCUCUUUAUGAGGCUGAUAUGCGAUCCGUUGCACUACGGUGUAUGCGGAGCAGCAUAGCCCCGUCUCGACUGCUUGCAGUGGGGCGGAGGUAGAGCGUAUUCGCUGGUACCCGAAAGAUGGUGAACUAUGCCUGAGCAGGAUGAAGCCAGAGGAAACUCUGGUGGAGGUCCGAAGCGCUUCUGACGUGCAAAUCGAUCGUCUGACUUGGGUAUAGGGGCGAAAGACUAAUCGAACC
This 297-nucleotide ribosomal RNA is filed under the name Zeldia punctata. RNAcentral's name for it is "partial large subunit rRNA". It matches the Rfam family "Eukaryotic large subunit ribosomal RNA", at positions 670 to 941 of the family's 3401-position model. Lineage: Eukaryota; Metazoa; Nematoda; Chromadorea; Rhabditida; Cephalobidae. The record is from RNAcentral.